CAAGUACACAGGGAGAUCGCGGGGGCUUCGGCCUCCGAGGAAAGUCCGAGCUUCAUAGGGCAAGGUGCUGGUUAACGGCCAGUCGGGGUAACUCGAAGGAAAGUGCCACAGAAAGUAAACCGCCAGGCUUCGGCCUGGUAAGGGUGAAAGGGUGCGGUAAGAGCGCACCGCUCGUUUGGUGACAAACGGGGCACGGUAAACCCCACUCGAAGCAAGACCAGAUAGAGGUGGCGUGACCCGCGCAAUGACUUCGGGUUGGUUGCUUGAGCUAGUUUGCAAAUUCUAGCCUAGAUGAAUGAUCUCCACCGACUGCGGGUAACCAAGGUCGGGACAGAACUCGGCUUACGGUGUACUUGGACG
RNAcentral lists this RNase P RNA (360 nucleotides) under Kofleriaceae bacterium. RNAcentral describes it as "RNase P RNA component class A". It matches the Rfam family "Bacterial RNase P class A". Rfam says of the family: Ribonuclease P (RNase P) is a ubiquitous endoribonuclease, found in archaea, bacteria and eukarya as well as chloroplasts and mitochondria. Its best characterised activity is the generation of mature 5'-ends of tRNAs by cleaving the 5'-leader elements of precursor-tRNAs. Lineage: Bacteria; Pseudomonadati; Myxococcota; Haliangiales; Kofleriaceae. The record is from RNAcentral.